CUACGGGCUGCUCCAGUGAGGAAUUUUGCGCAAUGGGGGCAACCCUGACGCAGCAACGCCGCGUGAGUGAAGAAGGCUUUCGGGUCGUAAAGCUCUGUCAAGUGGGAAGAACCUGCAGGAUGUUAAUAUCAUUUUGCACUGACGGUACCACUGAAGGAAGCACCGGCUAACUCCGUGCCAGCAGCCGCGGUAAUACGGGGGGUGCAAGCGUUAUUCGGAAUCAUUGGGCGUAAAGAGCGCGUGGGCGGUCUUGUAAGUCAGAUGUGAAAGCCCGGGGCUCAACCUCGGAAGUGCAUUUGAUACUGCGAGACUUGAGUAUGGGAGAGGGAAGUGGAAUUCCUGGUGUAGAGGUGAAAUUCGUAGAUAUCAGGAGGAACACCAGUGGCGAAGGCGACUUCCUGGACCAAUACUGACGCUGAGGCGCGAAGGCGUGGGUAGCAAACAGGAUUAGAUACCCUGGUAGUC
RNAcentral lists this ribosomal RNA (465 nucleotides) under uncultured bacterium. RNAcentral describes it as "partial 16S ribosomal RNA". It matches the Rfam family "Bacterial small subunit ribosomal RNA", at positions 339 to 795 of the family's 1533-position model. The record is from RNAcentral.